RNAcentral lists this unclassified non-coding RNA (145 nucleotides) under uncultured Helotiales. Its description in RNAcentral is "sequence contains ITS2". Lineage: Eukaryota; Fungi; Ascomycota; Leotiomycetes; Helotiales. The record is from RNAcentral.
UAACCAAUCAAGCUUGGCUUGGUAUUGGAGUCCGCUGUACAGCGGCUCUAAAACGCAGUGGCAGCGCCGCUGGGCUCUUUGCGUAGUAAAAUUUCUCGCUAUAGGGUUCUUGUGGUGGCUUGCUAAAAACCCCCUUUAUUUUUAA